RNAcentral lists this microRNA precursor (92 nucleotides) under Arabidopsis suecica. RNAcentral describes it as "mir-156". It matches the Rfam family "mir-156 microRNA precursor family". Rfam says of the family: This family represents the plant microRNA (miRNA) precursor mir-156. Lineage: Eukaryota; Viridiplantae; Streptophyta; Magnoliopsida; Brassicales; Brassicaceae. The record is from RNAcentral.
GUGACAGAAGAGAGUGAGCACACAUGGUGGCUUUCUUGCAUAUUUGACGGUUUCAUGCUUGAAGCUAUGUGUGCUCACUCUCUAUCCGUCAC